CCUACGGGAGGCAGCAGUGAGGAAUAUUGGUCAAUGGACGAGAGUCUGAACCAGCCAAGUAGCGUGAAGGAUGACUGCCCUAUGGGUUGUAAACUUCUUUUAUAUGGGAAUAAAACAGGGUAUGCAUACCCUCUUGUAUGUACCAUAUGAAUAAGGAUCGGCUAACUCCGUGCCAGCAGCCGCGGUAAUACGGAGGAUCCGAGCGUUAUCCGGAUUUAUUGGGUUUAAAGGGAGCGUAGGUGGAUUGUUAAGUCAGUUGUGAAAGUUUGCGGCUCAACCGUAAAAUUGCAGUUGAAACUGGCAGUCUUGAGUACAGUAGAGGUGGGCGGAAUUCGUGGUGUAGCGGUGAAAUGCUUAGAUAGCACGAAGAACUCCGAUUGCGAAGGCAGCUCACUGGACUGCAACUGACACUGAUGCUCGAAAGCGUGGGUAGCAAACAGGAUUAGAUACCCCUGUAGUC
RNAcentral lists this ribosomal RNA (460 nucleotides) under uncultured bacterium. Its description in RNAcentral is "partial 16S ribosomal RNA". It matches the Rfam family "Bacterial small subunit ribosomal RNA", at positions 338 to 795 of the family's 1533-position model. The record is from RNAcentral.